RNAcentral lists this ribosomal RNA (273 nucleotides) under uncultured bacterium. RNAcentral's name for it is "partial 16S ribosomal RNA". It matches the Rfam family "Bacterial small subunit ribosomal RNA", at positions 524 to 796 of the family's 1533-position model. The record is from RNAcentral.
UACGUAGGGACCAAGCGUUGUUCGGAUUUACUGGGCGUAAAGGGCGCGUAGGCGGCAUGACAAGUCACUUGUGAAAUCUCCGAGCUUAACUCGGAACUGCCAAGUGAUACUGUCGCGCUAGAGUGCAGAAGGGGCAAUCGGAAUUCUUGGUGUAGCGGUGAAAUGCGUAGAUAUCAAGAGGAACACCUGAGGUGAAGACGGGUUGCUGGGCUGACACUGACGCUGAGGCGCGAAAGCUAGGGUAGCAAACGGGAUUAGAAACCCCCGUAGUCC